GUCCACGCCGUAACGAUGGAUACUAGCUGUUCGGAGCAAUCUGAGUGGCUAAGCGAAAGUGAUAAGUAUCCCACCUGGGAGUACGUUCGCAAGAAUGAAACUCAAAGGAAUUGACGGGGCCCGCACAAGCGGUGGAGCAUGUGGUUUAAUUCGAUGAUACGCGAGGAACCUUACCAAGGCUUAAAAUGGGAAACGACAGGUUUUGGAAACAGACUUUUCUUCGGACGUUUUUCAAGGUGCUGCAUGGUUGUCGU
This 254-nucleotide ribosomal RNA is filed under the name uncultured bacterium. RNAcentral's name for it is "partial 16S ribosomal RNA". It matches the Rfam family "Bacterial small subunit ribosomal RNA", at positions 793 to 1055 of the family's 1533-position model. The record is from RNAcentral.